Non-coding RNA from Heterocephalus glaber (naked mole-rat), 220 nucleotides. The record is from RefSeq and is a predicted model, not a curated record. Lineage: Eukaryota; Metazoa; Chordata; Mammalia; Rodentia; Bathyergidae.
UUUGAUGGGUUGUUGCAGUCACCCUAGUAACAAGGUAUCCUGCCAAAAGGUCUUGGGAGAUGCUGCUACCCUCAGCCAUGCAACACCUUCUUCUUUACUGAUGGACAGUCAUGUCACAGUGAGCAGCACAGUAUAAUCAGAUGGAUGCAUACAGAUAUCCAGGUUCCUUCAAGGGAAGAUGAGCAGACUAUGGCUGGAACCUCAUGCAGGUUUCAGGUAA